Molecule: ribosomal RNA, 433 nt
Filed under: uncultured bacterium
Lineage: Bacteria
Description: partial 16S ribosomal RNA
Rfam family: Bacterial small subunit ribosomal RNA
Source: RNAcentral
AACGAACGCUGGCGGCAUGCCUAACACAUGCAAGUCGAACGAGACCUUCGGGUCUAGUGGCGCACGUGUGCGUAACGCGUGGGAACCUGCCCUUAGGUUCGGAAUAACUCCCCGAAAGGGGCGCUAAUACCGGAUAAUGUCUUCGGACCAAACAUUUAUCGCCUUUGGAUGGGCCCGCGUUGGAUUAGCUAGUUGGUAGGGUAAAAGCCUACCAAGGCGACGAUCCAUAGCUGGUCUGAGAGGAUGAUCAGCCACACUGGGACUGAGACACGGCCCAGACUCCUACGGGAGGCAGCAGUGGGGAAUAUUGGACAAUGGGCGAAAGCCUGAUCCAGCAAUGCCGCGUGAGUGAUGAAGGCCUUAGGGUUGUAAAGCUCUUUUACCCGGGAUGAUAAUGACAGUACCGGGAGAAUAAGCUCCGGCUAACUCCGUG